Molecule: ribosomal RNA, 494 nt
Filed under: uncultured bacterium
Lineage: Bacteria
Description: partial 16S ribosomal RNA
Rfam family: Bacterial small subunit ribosomal RNA
Source: RNAcentral
GACGAACGCUGGCGGCGUGCUUAACACAUGCAAGUCGAACGGUGAAACGCCUUCCUUUUUGGUGGGUUGGGAUGAGUGGCGGACGGGUGAGUAACAGGUUAGUAUCCUGCCCCCUUCUUCUGGAUAACCGCAUGAAAGAGUGGCUACUACGUGAUAUUCUGAGUCUGUCGCAUGAUGGGUCUGGGAAAGUUAUUGUUUCGGUGGGGGAUGGGCUCGCGGCUUAUCAGCUUGUUGGUGAGGUGAUGGCCUACCAAGGCGGUGACGGGUAGCCGGCCUGAGAGGGUCGACGGCCACACGGGGACGGAGAGACCGCCAAUACUCCGACGGGCGGCAGCAGUGGGUAAUAUUGCACAGUGGGCGGACGCCUGAUGCAGCGACGCGGGGUGGGGGAAGGAGGCCGGCGGGUUGUGAACUUUUUUCGCGAGUGAAGCAGGCCUGCCUCGUUUGUGGGUGGGUUGACGGUAGCUGGAUAAGAAGCGCCGGCUAACUACGUG